GAUGAACGCUGGCGGCGUGCUUAACACAUGCAAGUCGAACGGUGAAGGCGGAGCUUGCUCUGCUGGAUCAGUGGCGAACGGGUGAGUAACACGUGAGCAAUCUGCCCCUGACUCUGGGAUAAGCGCUGGAAACGGCGUCUAAUACUGGAUACGAGCUGCGAAGGCAUCUUCAGCAGCUGGAAAGAAUUUCGGUCAGGGAUGAGCUCGCGGCCUAUCAGCUUGUUUGUUAGGUAAUGGCUCACCAAGGCGUCGACGGGUAGCCGGCCUGAGAGGGUGACCGGCCACCCUGGGACUGAGACACGGCCCAGACUCCUACGGGAGGCAGCAGUGGGGAAUAUUGCACAAUGGGCGAAAGCCUGAUGCAGCAACGCCGCGUGAGGGACGACGGCCUUCGGGUUGUAAACCUCUUUUAGCAGGGAAGAAGCGAAAGUGACGGUACCUGCAGAAAAAGCGCCGGCUAACUACGUG
Molecule: ribosomal RNA, 468 nt
Filed under: uncultured bacterium
Lineage: Bacteria
Description: partial 16S ribosomal RNA
Rfam family: Bacterial small subunit ribosomal RNA
Source: RNAcentral